GACGAACGCUGGCGGCAGGCUUAACACAUGCAAGUCGCACGACAACGCUUUGUCUUUGACGCGCGCGAACAGUGGAGGACUGAUGCAUAUCCCGAAUAUGACCUGCCCUCGGGCGAGGGACAAUCACAGUAAACCGUGGCUAACACCCCACCUCCUCUGGAUCCCGCAUGGAUAACCAGAUCACAGCCUUCAGGCGCCUUUGAAUGGCUCUUCGUUGGAUUAGCUUGUUGGUGACCUAACAGCUCACCAUCGCAACCAUCCCUAACUGGACUAACAGGACCAUCGGCCCCGCAGCGACUGACACACUCCCCAGACUCCUACCGGAGGCAACUAUGGGAAAUCGUGCACAAUGCGGUUACCCCUGAUCCACCCGUGCCACGAGGGCCAUCACACCCCUAUGGCGCUUUGUCUCCUUUUCUGACCUCAGAGACCCCUGUACGUUCAGGGCACGACAGUAGUUCAAGAAUCACCACCUGCUAUCUCCCUGCCAGCCGCCGCAGUAAUACGGAUGGUGCCAUCGUUCUCAAGUAUCCGCUGGUUGUACAUGGUGCGCCGGCUCGGCAACUCCUAUGAUGUGAAACCCCAUGGCUCAACCAUGGAAGUGCAUUCGAAACUGUUGCUCUUGAGUCCGGGAGAGGCUGUCGGAUUUCGUGGUGUAGCAGUGAAAUGCGUAGAUAUCACGAGGACCACCAGAGGCGAAAGCGGACAGCUGGACCGGUACUGACGCUCAGGCACGAAAGCGUGGGGAGCAAACAGGAUUAGAUACCCUGGUAGUCCACGCCGUAAACGAUGAAUGCUCGCCGUUGCCCCGCUCAAGCGGCAGUGGUUAAGUUAACGCGUUAAGCAAUCCACCUGGGGAGUACGAUUGCAAGGUUGAAAAUCAAAGGAAUUGACGGGGGCCCGCACCAGCGGUGGAGCAUGUGGCUCAAUUUGAUGCAACGGGACGAACCUUACCUAGGCUCGAACGUUCGAGGACCGCUCCUGAAAGGGAGCUUCCCCUUUGGGGACCCUAGGGCGGUAGUGCAUGGCUGUUGUCAGCUUGUGUUGUGAGAUGUUGGGUUAAGUCCCGCAACGAGGGUAACCCCUGUUCCUAGUUACCAUCCAGUAAUGCCGGGGACUCUAGCGAAACUGCCGGCGCCAGCAGUGAGGAAGGUGGGGAUGACGUCAAGUCAUCAUGGUCCUUACGCCCAGGGCUGCACACGUGCUACAAUGGCCGGUACAACGGGUAGCCACCUCGCGAGAGGGAGCGAAUCUCAGAAACCCCGUCCCAGUUCGGAUUGGAGUCUGCAACUCGACUCCAUGAAGCAGGAAUCGCUAGUAAUCGCGGAUCAGCAAUGCCGCGGUGAAUCCGUUCCCGGGCCUUGUACACACCGCCCGUCACACCAUGGGAGUCUGUUGCACCAGAAGCAGGUAGCUUAACCUUCGGGAGGGCGCUUGCCACGGUGUGGCCGAUGACUGGGGU
Molecule: ribosomal RNA, 1462 nt
Filed under: uncultured bacterium
Lineage: Bacteria
Description: bacterial SSU rRNA
Rfam family: Bacterial small subunit ribosomal RNA
Source: RNAcentral